Molecule: ribosomal RNA, 528 nt
Filed under: uncultured bacterium
Lineage: Bacteria
Description: bacterial SSU rRNA
Rfam family: Bacterial small subunit ribosomal RNA
Source: RNAcentral
UGGGGAAUAUUGCACAAUGGGCGGAAGCCUGAUGCAGCGACGCGCGUGGGGGAUGAAGGCCUUCGGGUUGUAAACUCCUUUCGACAGGGACGAAGCUUUUGUGACGGUACCUGUAUAAGAAGCACCGGCUAACUACGUGCCAGCAGCCGCGGAAAUACGUAGGGGGCGAGCGUUGUCCGGGAUUACUGGCCGUAAAUUACANGUAGGUGGUUUGUCGCGUCGUCUGUGAAAUUCCGGGGCUUAACUCCGGGCGUGCAGGCGAUACGGGCUGACUUGAGUGCUGUAGGGGAGACUGGAAUUCCUGGUGUAGCGGUGAAAUGCGCAGAUAUCAGGAGGAACACCGAUGGCGAAGGCAGGUCUCUGGGCAGUAACUGACGCUGAGGAGCGAAAGCAUGGGUAGCGAACAGGAUUAGAUACCCUGGUAGUCCAUGCCGUAAACGGUGGGCGCUAGGUGUAGGGGGCUUCCACGUCUUCUGUGCCGUAGCUAACGCAUUAAGCGCCCCGCCUGGGGAGUACGGCCGCAAGCUA